This 81-nucleotide transfer RNA is filed under the name Paragonimus skrjabini miyazakii. RNAcentral's name for it is "Paragonimus miyazakii tRNA-Asn". It matches the Rfam family "tRNA". Rfam says of the family: Transfer RNA (tRNA) molecules are approximately 80 nucleotides in length. Their secondary structure includes four short double-helical elements and three loops (D, anti-codon, and T loops). The record is from RNAcentral. Lineage: Eukaryota; Metazoa; Platyhelminthes; Trematoda; Plagiorchiida; Troglotrematidae.
GGCUUCGUAGGUCAGCUGGUACAGCGCUUGCCGCGUUGUGGCAUGGUGUUUCUGUCGCUGGUUCGAAUCCAGCCGAAGCCC